UGAGCUCCCAAGUCCGGCGCGUGUGUGGUAGUUGGAGGCUCCCCACCCCCCACCCCCCCAGCUGCCUUUAAAGCUCAGUGUCUUCAUUUUAGAACUCUUGGUACGUCACGGAGGAUCGUCCUCGGCCGUGGACGCGCGUCCCUCUGUUCUUCCCGGCGGGAGUCGAGGUCUCCGCGGUCCGAGGAGCGGUUUUGGCCUGGCCUUGCACUACCUGUACUGACGUCACGGGGGAGCAGCUCGGGCUGCCAAGGAGAGUGAAAACAAAAAAUCAUUUGAAUGAGAAGUGAGCUUCCUGGUUGUUCUCCUUCCACCACCAACCUUACUUUUUCACGUUGCUCCUUCGACCCUCCCAGGAGGCAGGGGUCUGGCUCAGGCGCGGACAAACUCCGAGCGCAGAGAGGGCCCGGCCCGGCGCCCCGCGCCCCCUGACCGAGCUGCUUCCGGCCCCGGAGCCAGGGACUGGGGAGGAAGGCGCGACCGCCAGGGCCCCGCCACCAGCCGCAAAACCUCGCACCCAAGAGUGCCACGCUCCCCUGGAGGAAGCCACCCCAAAGGACGAGGCUGAAUGGGCUGAGGGGCCCAGUGACGAGGAAUCCCGGACAGCCUGCGAUAGGGACUGAGAUGGGCCGCGGGCUCCCAGGAAAUCCCGUCCUCUCUGGAGCCUGGGAAUGGCUUUGGGAGAAAAGGCUCAGCUCCAGG
This 699-nucleotide long non-coding RNA is filed under the name Heterocephalus glaber (naked mole-rat). RNAcentral's name for it is "lncRNA (ENSHGLG00100037184.1)". The record is from RNAcentral. Lineage: Eukaryota; Metazoa; Chordata; Mammalia; Rodentia; Bathyergidae.